CCCUUAGACGUUCUGGGCCGCACGCGCGCUACACUGACCAGUGCAACAAGCAUCCGUCCUUGGCCGACAGGCUCGGGCAAUCUUUGAACGCUGGUCGUGAUGGGGAUAGACUUUUGCAAUUUUUGGUCUUCAACGAGGAAUUCCUAGUAAACGCAAGUCAUCAACUUGCAUUGAUUACGUCCCUGCCCUUUGUACACACCGCCCGUCGCACCUACCGAUUGAAUGGUCCGGUGAAGCCUCCGGAUUGGCGCGCACCUCGGUGCCGUCGAGAAGUUGGCUAAACCUUACCAUUUAGAGGAAGGUGAAGUCGUAACA
Molecule: ribosomal RNA, 315 nt
Filed under: uncultured eukaryote
Lineage: Eukaryota
Description: partial 18S ribosomal RNA
Rfam family: Eukaryotic small subunit ribosomal RNA
Source: RNAcentral